Non-coding RNA from Xyrichtys novacula (pearly razorfish), 5132 nucleotides. The record is from the annotation of a GenBank genome assembly. NCBI's taxonomy places the organism in Eukaryota, Metazoa, Chordata, Actinopteri, Labriformes, Labridae.
UUUUUCUUGGCGUUUGAGCAAAGAUGUUUGGCAUGAAAACUGGGAAGUUAAAUCAGAUUCAUUUGCUUCAUAUCAUUGUAAAUAUUAACAGGUAUACAAGGGAAAAAAGUUUAAUGUAUUAAAACAUCCUCCACUUUGGUCUGGUGUUUGUCUUUAAAAAUAAAAACUAUCUCAUUUGCUAGCAUCGGAUCUUAACUGAUUCUGUCAGUAGUUUCUUUUAAUUACCACUAAACUUCUCAUAAUGAGGAGAUAAUUAUUGACUUAAAAAUAGACUGAUAAACAGUAACGUUAGCGGUGUCCCGAUACGUUAUUGAUAUCGGUCCGAUAUCAGCCUCCACCUUAAAUCUCCGAUAUCAGCACUCCGAUACAGGCAGUCCAUUCCAGACUCUGCUCCAGGAACCUCUAUCUAGCAGCACCUGGAUCCAGCAUGUAAAGCCCACGUAAUGACAACAACAGUGUGUACUAAGGUACAAAGUACAAAGGGAUUGGCCCUGUGGCAGUAUUUUUCAUUAAAGUCUGAUAAAGACGUUGCAGCUGAGUGCAAAACUUGUCAUGCGCUAGUUUGUGCCAAUAUUGGAUCAAUAUCAGUAUCGGCCAGUAUUGAAGGCUGCAAUAUCGGUAUCGUAUCAGAGGUAAAUCAGGGGGAAGUGGUUCCUGGAAUAGUCCGUAGACAAUCAUGAUCAUUCAACUGUUUCACUGCUGUUAAAAAUGCAGACUAAAAAUUGAAAGUAUUGAUUAGAAUUGCAACUUAAAUCAGCAUCCACAAAAUCGCAGAGGAAUUAAAUUGGGAAAAAAGCAUAUUGUCCCAGCCCCACUAUUCAUAUAGUCUACCUAGACAUGGCAGAGUGCCGACUAUUGAAAAGCAUAUCGACCGUGUUUUAUAUUGAUAUUGAGGGAAAUUAAUUUUCAAUAUAUAUAAUUAUCGUUUUAUCGCCCAGCCCUAACCCUAAGUAACAUAAUCGAACGGGGCCUUGUAAAAAUCAUAUUCAUCAAUAACAAGUCCAGGUCCUCUUGACCAUCUUCUGAGUCUUGAAGCAGUCAAGUAUGAGUCUUCUGUGCUCAACCUAUGACUCCUGAAAACCAGGACUUGAGGCCAUCCGCCCAUUAGUGAACAAUUAUAUUUCAGACAGGAUUUAAAACGUACCUCCUCCGUCCCUUCACUUUUGUCUGUGCACGUUUCAACCCCCACUGCUGUAUCUAUGAGCACGUUUGAACUCAGUGUGACCUAAAUGUUCCCCCUCUCCCCGUGUCCUGUGUGGCACCUCAGCAGUGUCAUCGCUGCUCUCGUUUGAUGAUAAUUGUCUCUCUCCUCCGGCUCUUGCACAUGCUGAGAUGGUUCCUCCUCGUCCAAAGGCAGUUCCUUCACCGCCUCGAAAAACCUGCUUGCUUUGUCUUUUACUGGCUCUAAAUAGCCUGUAGUCAAAAAGGCAUCUUAGAUGGGCUGUUCUGGAGUAGGUAGGGGCGGCGUAUAAAUCCACCGCCACGGCUAUUAAUUAUUAGUGACAGCUUUCUGUGGCCGUUUUAGCUCAAAUGUUUCCACUGCAAUUGAUCCAAAAGAAAAAAUCCAUUUUUAUGUGAUAGCUGUAGCUUUUAAGCAAACUGACUGCUCGCACCGUAAGGUCAAGGAUUGAGUGAGUGAAGUUAUUUUUGCUGCUUGUGUUAGCAGAUUGCCUAUCAAUCUCUGGAGUGUCAUGUGAUUGAUACUGACUCAGCUUGAAUGAAAGAUGAGGCAAGGCCAUUGCCGCUCCAACUCAAGAGGAAAGAGUAGCCAAUGACCACUUAUAAAGCAAACAUAUUACACAUUACCAAGCACUAACAAUAUUCUCAUAAUUGCAUUUUCAAUAUCGGCACAUUUGGUGAAGGUAAAAUCAGCUGGAGGGACCAAUGUUGGAGGAUGAUUGUAAAGGAUCUGUUAAUCUAUGAUUAUCAACCACUUUGAAUCACCUGAGCUGUUAAUUAGCUAUUCUGGUUUACUACAUAUUAACAUCUUAAAUAUGAGUUAAAUCUUUCACCAUAAGGCAGAUUCGGUUUAUUUUUCUAGAAGUUUCCUGUUUUGAACUGAAGGCAUCUCCUCAGGCCUUUAAUUGCACACUUGUUGCUCCUUCCACCAUCUGCUCUCUGUCCAAUCAUUAAUUUAAAAGGAGAAAAAUAUAUUCUGUUCCCUGGCAGAGAUUUCACAGAAGAAGCCUGUUUGACUAUAUAAAGUCACUUAUUUUACUUUAUUAGAAGGUUCAAGUUAAAUUUAGAAAAAAAAAAAGUCAAGACUGAUCAAAUUAGGUUGAACUUUUGGUACUUUACCAAAUCAGACAGAUGUCUCUCUCUGGGCUCCAAAGGUGGUGGAGACAGAUGCUUCUGUCAGAUUUCAAAGGAGUCAUUUUACAGGCUUCGCCUUGAUCAUUUCAUCAGGAUAUGAUUAGAUCACGACACAUGGCAACAGUCAUCAAGAGGGAGAAAAACAAAAUAAACAGGUUAGCUAGGAUGUAUUUUUUUACCGCGUUAGAGGUUUGCUAAUGAUCAAUCAGGAGUUCGAAAAUUACUGUGGUGAUAUUGUCAAGUUUUACAGUAGAUACUAAAGGUAGUUUUUAGUUAAUCCUGAAGUUAAGUGGUGUCUCUCUGAUAAUUAUGCCUCUCAUGAACUGUGUACUUGAAGUUCUCCUGUCUGGAUUGGUCAGUGUUUGUUUUUGUGGCUGAUACCAGAGCAGAAUUAGCAAGAAGACAUAAACUUUCUGUUUAAGUUUUUUAGUAGUUGGAGAUUCCUCACAACCAGGACUUUGAGAGAGAGAGAGAGAGAGAUUGUUUAUUUGAUCAAAUAUACAUACAGUACAAUUUUAGUCAAGAAAUUCCCUAUUUUUUGGAGAUCAAAAAGGAGUAGGUAGAAGCUAUUUGGCUUAUUUGUACCUACCCUCAUUCCUUCCUAUUCAUUGACCUUUUACAUGUCUCUGGAAUUUUAGGAUUUCUGAAGUCGCCAAAAAGUAACCAAAGCUCCCAAGUCGAACAUGAAUAUGUAAGAAAUCAUUAACACUGAGACAGACUUUGCUUGGUUAAAGAGCUAAAUUGCUGAGAACAGGAUCGCUCGUGAGAAAAGCAGAAAAAACAUGACUGGUUUUGUCUUGAGAGGUCACCAGAAACAACAAAACAUGAAAACCCCCACAAGUUUGUUUGAAAAGGGGGAUACGGGAUUUACUCCAGGAUACAUGGUGGUCAUAAUUCGGAGACUGGAAACCCAGACUUGAACCGUUCACACGUCUCACAGUGCUUCAUGGGUUGUUUGCUGCAUGUAUGUUCGGAUGUAGUGACAGUGGACUGUUGGGAAUAGCAGAGCGGAGCAGCUUGAGGACAGAGCAUGUCACGUGUCGCAGGUCGACUCUUUGUGUGUUUUUUCCAUGGAGGGGAAAGAGCUGUUGCAUGUGCCUCUGGUGCGUUUCAGAGCUUUGGCAGAGUGGACCUCCGGGCUCUGGGCUUGUUAUGGAGCUGUCACUGUUAGGGUGGCAACACACUAUGCAUUUGAUCCUCUAUAAGAGAGUAGACAGGAUGUACAGUACAUAGAGAGAAGACCGCCACCCCUGGGUUAUUAUUCAGGAUGAAAUGAAAGAAAAGACACUCAAAGUAUUUGGUUCCCUGUGUGACGUGAAAACCGUAUUUAUGCGAAGUUAAAGCACUCAUUCAUUCUCCGGCAUGGCUUUACAGGGGGUUGCAGAUUUCCUGGUUAAAAGUGAAUCCCUGCUGGCCCUUUUUUUUUUACUGAAUAUUAAUUAGAUUUCAUCUUUGAAAGCCCUACAGCCCUUACAGAAACAUCCUUUUUAAUCAAGACAUAAAUGAGACGUGCUAAAGUGAUCUCUAGUAUCACGACUCUGGGGGAUUCAUGACUUCGAAAUUGAGAUGAGAAGUGCAGAUUCUUUUAUCUUUGCACUCAGUUUUACCUCAUAUGAAUUCAUUUGUGGUUAAGGAGGACAUAAAGUAACAAUGAUGAUGUCAAACUAGCGUUUUGAUAUUUACUUUAAAAGUCUGACUUUGUUUGCUUUCUCACUGUGCUUUCCUGCGCCCAUUGAUACUUCUAAGUUUAGAGUCCCAAAAUGCAUCAUUGUCCAUCUUUUUUGUUUGGUAAUUGUAAACUACAGUGACAAAACCUAUUUGUCCUGCCCCUCAGAGCUGUCUCAGGGCCCAGUUUCCCUGACAAGUGUGGUUUGAGGGGCCAUAAAACCAUCCUGCCACCAUCCCUCAAUCCCGUCCUCCAUUACGUAUGAAGCAGUGGCUAAAGUGACAGGCUUAUUUUCACCAGGACACAUGUAGCUGAGAUGACACCAUCACUCCAGCGCCAAACGCUACGUGAUCAAAGAUAUAUUUCUCAUUGACAAACUGCCGUGAGUAAAAGGCAACAGAGAGGGGUUAAGAGAGAAUACCAAUAUCAAUUCACUAGUCAUUUAGUUUGCUUACACUUCUUUCACGGAUAAGUGCAUAGACCCUUUUUCCUCCUGCUGUUCAAUUACCCAAGCACCCAUAAAAACCUGAAGUUGUGUCUCCGGAGUGAGAUAUUGUCACGCCGCUCGUAGCAAUAAGAGCGAGAUUUAGGAUAAGCCUCUCUACUGUGACAGAGGCUCGGCAGAGGGACCCUCUCUGUCACCAGAUAUUGCCGUCCCAAGCCGCUCAUUAAAGCUAGAAACCAUUACUUUACAGCUCGGGCUCAGCUUCACUCGGCUCCUCCUUCAUCUGCCUGCACAGCCCCCUGGAAGUAAAUAAACACAAAUGAGCUCGAGGAUAAACAAGGAAGCGCAAGAGCUGAAACCGUGGGGGAGGGGGAAAGCUGUGUGACCCAUUAACUUCUUUAUGCCGUUUAGUGGUCGGAUCAAGUUCAUUAUAAGAGAAUUUCCCCUGUGAACAACAAUGCAGAAGAAAGUGUUAGUUAGAUCAUAGUGAGCGCUCCCCUUGGUGUUGUUUGGAUUUGGCUCCACGAGGAGGAUUUAGACAGUCACAGAACUUAAAGGGAUAUUCCGACGUAAAAUGAAGUUAGGGUCAAACACACAGUAACACCGAGUUAGACACCCCAUCUUAACCCCAUCCAACUUAUACGAUAGCAAUACACAGCAGUCUGAGGAGCCACGCAAUCAACCAAAACGCCACUCUAUAGCCAUAAA